UUUCGCAAUGCCCGAAAGGGUGACGAAGCGACGCCGCGUGUGGGAAGAAGGCCUUCGGGUUGUAAACCACUGUCGGGAGUUAAGAAAUGUAAGGGUGUUAAUAGCAUUCUUACUUGACUAAGGCUCCGGAGGAAGCCACGGCUAACUCUGUGCCAGCAGCCGCGGUAAUACAGAGGCGGCAAGCGUUGUUCGGAAUUAUUGGGCGUAAAGAGCACGUAGGCGGCUAUGUAAGUCGGUUGUGAAAGCCUUCCGCUCAACGGGAGAACAGCAUCCGAUACUGCAUGGCUUGAGUGCGGGAGGGGAGAGUGGAACUUCUGGUGGAGCGGUGAAAUGCGUAGAUAUCAGAAGGAACGCCGGCGGCGAAAGCGGCUCUCUGGCCCAUAACUGACGCUGAGUGUGCGAAAGCUAGGGGAGCAAACGGGAUUAGAUACCCCGGUAGUCCUAGCCGUAAACGAUGGGCACUAAGUAGAGGGGUUUU
RNAcentral lists this ribosomal RNA (478 nucleotides) under uncultured Planctomycetales bacterium. RNAcentral's name for it is "bacterial SSU rRNA". It matches the Rfam family "Bacterial small subunit ribosomal RNA", at positions 364 to 832 of the family's 1533-position model. Lineage: Bacteria; Pseudomonadati; Planctomycetota; Planctomycetia; Planctomycetales. The record is from RNAcentral.